This 316-nucleotide ribosomal RNA is filed under the name Babesia gibsoni. RNAcentral's name for it is "SSU rRNA". It matches the Rfam family "Eukaryotic small subunit ribosomal RNA", at positions 810 to 1122 of the family's 1831-position model. Lineage: Eukaryota; Apicomplexa; Aconoidasida; Piroplasmida; Babesiidae. The record is from RNAcentral.
UGGAAUACUAAAGCAGGACUUUGGUUCUAUUUUGUUGGUUUGUGAACCUUAGUAAUGGUUAAUAGGAACGGUUGGGGGCAUUCGUAUUUAACUGUCAGAGGUGAAAUUCUUAGAUUUGUUAAAGACGAACUACUGCGAAAGCAUUUGCCAAGGACGUUUUCAUUAAUCAAGAACGAAAGUUAGGGGAUCGAAGACGAUCAGAUACCGUCGUAGUCCUAACCAUAAACCAUGCCGACUAGGGGAUUGGAGGUCGUCAUUUUUCGACUCCCUUCAGCACCUUUGAGAGAAAACAAAAGUCUUUGGGUUUCUGGGGGGA